This 321-nucleotide ribosomal RNA is filed under the name Triticum aestivum (bread wheat). RNAcentral's name for it is "partial small subunit ribosomal RNA". The record is from RNAcentral. Lineage: Eukaryota; Viridiplantae; Streptophyta; Magnoliopsida; Poales; Poaceae.
AUGCAUGCUCUUUCCGUAUGCUCCGCAAGCAAAGCAUGGUGGCCCUUGUUCCUGCAUGCUUUGCUUCCUGUGGUGUUUUUGCAUUGUUUCUCCAUGCUACUAGUAAGCAUGCCCUUGUUCCAAGCAUGCAAGGCCGCCGAGAUGAGAUUCAUCAGCGUUCUGCAUUUGGUAGGAUCCAAAUGUGCUGUCUCCCACACCACACCAACCAUCGUACCUACUCUAGAAAGUUGUAAAACCAUUGCUUGGACCACUGAUGAAACGCCUGUGAUCGUGCUUAAUCAAAUGGAACGAACGCGGGUGCAGGCGCUAGUGGAAUUAUAG